AUCCGCGGCCGCUGCAGAGUUUGAUCCUGGCUCAGAGCGAACGCUGGCGGCGUGCCUAACACAUGCAAGUCGAGCGGACUGUAAAGAGGGGUAACUCUCUUUGCAGUUAGCGGCGCACGGGUGAGUAACACGUGGGUAACCUACCCUUAGGAGAGGGAUAACCCGAGGAAACUUGGGCUAAUACCUCAUAAGACCACAGGCUGAAAUGCUCGUGGUAAAAGGAGCAAUCCACCUAAGGAUGGGCCCGCGGCUAUCAGGUAGUUGGUAGGGUAAUGGCCUAACCCAAGCCUAUGACGGGUAGCCCAGCUGAGAGGCUGGCCGGGCACAUUGGGGACUGAGACACGGCCCAGACUUCUAAGA
This 360-nucleotide ribosomal RNA is filed under the name uncultured bacterium. Its description in RNAcentral is "bacterial SSU rRNA". It matches the Rfam family "Bacterial small subunit ribosomal RNA", at positions 1 to 345 of the family's 1533-position model. The record is from RNAcentral.